RNAcentral lists this ribosomal RNA (1443 nucleotides) under uncultured organism. RNAcentral describes it as "SSU rRNA". It matches the Rfam family "Bacterial small subunit ribosomal RNA". The record is from RNAcentral.
CUCAUGAUGAACGCUAGCUACAGGCUUAACACAUGCAAGUCGAGGGGCAGCAUGGUCUUAGCUUGCUAAGGCCGAUGGCGACCGGCGCACGGGUGAGUAACACGUAUCCAACCUGCCGUCUACUCUUGGACAGCCUUCUGAAAGGAAGAUUAAUACAAGAUGGCAUCAUGAGUCCGCAUGUUCACAUGAUUAAAGGUAUUCCGGUAGACGAUGGGGAUGCGUUCCAUUAGAUAGUAGGCGGGGUAACGGCCCACCUAGUCUUCGAUGGAUAGGGGUUCUGAGAGGAAGGUCCCCCACAUUGGAACUGAGACACGGUCCAAACUCCUACGGGAGGCAGCAGUGAGGAAUAUUGGUCAAUGGGCGAGAGCCUGAACCAGCCAAGUAGCGUGAAGGAUGACUGCCCUAUGGGUUGUAAACUUCUUUUAUAAAGGAAUAAAGUCGGGUAUGGAUACCCGUUUGCAUGUACUUUAUGAAUAAGGAUCGGCUAACUCCGUGCCAGCAGCCGCGGUAAUACGGAGGAUCCGAGCGUUAUCCGGAUUUAUUGGGUUUAAAGGGAGCGUAGAUGGAUGUUUAAGUCAGUUGUGAAAGUUUGCGGCUCAACCGUAAAAUUGCAGUUGAUACUGGAUAUCUUGAGUGCAGUUGAGGCAGGCGGAAUUCGUGGUGUAGCGGUGAAAUGCUUAGAUAUCACGAAGAACUCCGAUUGCGAAGGCAGCCUGCUAAGCUGCAACUGACAUUGAGGCUCGAAAGUGUGGGUAUCAAACAGGAUUAGAUACCCUGGUAGUCCACACGGUAAACGAUGAAUACUCGCUGUUUGCGAUAUACUGCAAGCGGCCAAGCGAAAGCGUUAAGUAUUCCACCUGGGGAGUACGCCGGCAACGGUGAAACUCAAAGGAAUUGACGGGGGCCCGCACAAGCGGAGGAACAUGUGGUUUAAUUCGAUGAUACGCGAGGAACCUUACCCGGGCUUAAAUUGCAGAUGAAUUACGGUGAAAGCCGUAAGCCGCAAGGCAUCUGUGAAGGUGCUGCAUGGUUGUCGUCAGCUCGUGCCGUGAGGUGUCGGCUUAAGUGCCAUAACGAGUGCAACCCUUGUUGUCAGUUACUAACAGGUUCCGCUGAGGACUCUGACAAGACUGCCAUCGUAAGAUGUGAGGAAGGUGGGGAUGACGUCAAAUCAGCACGGCCCUUACGUCCGGGGCUACACACGUGUUACAAUGGGGGGUACAGAGGGCCGCUACCACGCGAGUGGAUGCCAAUCCCCAAAACCUCUCUCAGUUCGGACCGGAGUCUGCAACCCGACUCCACGAAGCUGGAUUCGCUAGUAAUCGCGCAUCAGCCACGGCGCGGUGAAUACGUUCCCGGGCCUUGUACACACCGCCCGUCAAGCCAUGGGAGCCGGGGGUACCUGAAGUGCGUAACCGCGAGGAGCGCCCUAGGGUAAAACUG